RNAcentral lists this ribosomal RNA (679 nucleotides) under uncultured beta proteobacterium. RNAcentral's name for it is "bacterial SSU rRNA". It matches the Rfam family "Bacterial small subunit ribosomal RNA", at positions 8 to 664 of the family's 1533-position model. Lineage: Bacteria; Pseudomonadati; Pseudomonadota; Betaproteobacteria. The record is from RNAcentral.
AGAGUGUGAUUACUGGCUCAUAUUGUACGCUGGCGGCAUGCCUUACACAUGCAAGUCGAACGGCAGCAUGAUCUAUCUUGCUAGAUUGAUGGCGAGCUGGCGAACGGGUGAUUAAUACAUCGGAACGUGCCCUGUAGUGGGGGAUAACUAGUCGAAAGAUUAGCUAAUACCGCAUACGACCUGAGGGUGAAAGUGGGGGACCGCAAGGCCUCAUGCUAUAGGAGCGGCCGAUGUCUGAUUAGCUAGUUGGUGGGGUAAAGGCCCACCWAGGCGACGAUCAGUAGCUGGUCUGAGAGGACGAUCAGYCACACUGGGACUGAGACACGGCCCAGACUCCUACGGGAGGCAGCUGUGGGGAAUUUUGGACAAUGGGCGAAAGCCUGAUCCAUCAAUGCCGCUUGUGUGAAGAAGGCCUUCGGGUUGUAAAGCACUUUUGUCCGGAAAGAAAUGGCUCUGGUUAAUUACCUGGGGCCGAUGACUGUACCGGAAGAAUAAGGACCGGCUAACUACGUGCCAGCAUCCGCUUGUAUACCUAUGGUCCCAASCUGUUAAUCGGAUUUACUGGGCGUUAAGCGUGCKCAGGCGUGCUUGUGUCAAGACCGAUUGUGAAAUCCCCGAGCUUAACUUGGGAAUUGCAUUGUUUGACUGCACGGGCUAGUAGUUGUGCUCUGAUGGGAGG